Molecule: ribosomal RNA, 252 nt
Filed under: uncultured bacterium
Lineage: Bacteria
Description: partial 16S ribosomal RNA
Rfam family: Bacterial small subunit ribosomal RNA
Source: RNAcentral
UACGUAGGGGCUAGCGUUGCUCGGAAUUACUGGGCGUAAAGCGCACGUAGGCGGCUUUCUAAGUCGGGGGUGAAAUCCUGGAGCUCAACUCCAGAACUGCCUUCGAUACUGGAAAGCUCGAGUCCGGGAGAGGUGAGUGGAACUGCGAGUGUAGAGGUGAAAUUCGUAGAUAUUCGCAAGAACACCAGUGGCGAAGGCGGCUCACUGGCCCGGUACUGACGCUGAGGUGCGAAAGCGUGGGGAGCAAACAGG